GACGAACGCUGGCGGCGGGCUUAACACAUGCAAGUCGAACGACGUGGCGAACGGGUGAGUAACCCGUAAUCAACCUGCCCUUCAGAGGGGGACCACAGUGGGAAACGACUGCUAAUACCGCAUACUGAAGGAGGGGUUUGGGUAUGAUUAGCUAGUUGGAUGGGUAACGGCCCACCAAGGCGAUGAUCAGUAGCCGGGCUGGAGGGAGUAACGGCCACAUCGGGACUGGGACACGGCCCAGACUCCCACGGGAGGCAGCAGUGGGGAAUCUUCCGCAAUGGACGACAGUCUGACGGCGCAACGCCGCGGGAGUGAUGACGGCCUUCGGGUUGUAAAGCUCUGUUAAUCGGGACGCGGUACCGGAAUAGAAAGCAACGGCUAACUACGUGCCAGCAGCCGCGGUAAUUC
RNAcentral lists this ribosomal RNA (408 nucleotides) under uncultured bacterium. RNAcentral's name for it is "partial 16S ribosomal RNA". It matches the Rfam family "Bacterial small subunit ribosomal RNA", at positions 28 to 526 of the family's 1533-position model. The record is from RNAcentral.